Clupea harengus (Atlantic herring) is the source of this 1594-nucleotide long non-coding RNA. RefSeq lists it as uncharacterized. The transcript is spliced from 2 exons. The record is from RefSeq and is a predicted model, not a curated record. NCBI's taxonomy places the organism in Eukaryota, Metazoa, Chordata, Actinopteri, Clupeiformes, Clupeidae.
AACUUCCCACCCCUGUAGACGACGAAGGUGAAUUGAUUAGUUUGGAGUGCGACAAAUUGUUUACUUAACUUAUUAUGAUUGAUAGUUAGUUGUUUCAUUUGGAGCUGAAUUGUUUAGGGUUUAUUUAGUUAUUGAGAAUUAUGGUUUGGAGUUUUUGUUUUCUUUUUUGAUUUUUCUCCAUUCUGGCGUGUUUGGCCUUCUGUGAAAGGAUAAUAAACAUUUGCCAUUGCCACAAACAUCCGAGACACUGCCUCCAUUUCGUUCUACAUCGCCACGAGGCCAUCCCGGCUACAAUUGGACCAUGGUUGGAUGUCGGGGAUAAACCCAGAAUCUGGUUGAUGCUACAGGGAAGUGCUGGAGAGCAGAAGACCGCAGCCUGUGGGACAAGCAGGACCUUGAAGUCCUGAGUCUGCCUUUUGUUGGGCAGCACACGGUGAGGCUUGGCCUGUUUCUUUCUCCGACCUUUGCUGUCACAGUCCCCAACAUGACCACUGGAGGUACUUGGCUGGGCAUUUACUCCAGAAUGGGAGAUGCCAUGGAGCUCCUCUAGGCUCCUUCCUUGAAUGAAUGGAGUCUCCUGGAACAGUAGUCCGGCCUGGGGGACUGUGUUCUGCAGUUGGACAUGUUGACCAAAGUCAAGUAAGAUGGUGGCAAUUUCAAGUGUCUCCUUUAAAGGGCACUUAAACACCCCACAUUUAUCCUGGGAAACCAAUUCACCAUCUCCUCUGUCUGCAGCCUACAAUGAAAAGGAACUCUGUAAAUUAUCUGAAAUACUCAUACAUAAUACAUUCAUAUUCAUGACAUUGAAGGACACCAACCUACCUGUACAGUACAAGUCUGCUCCUCACUUGACACCAAAUGGCAGGGCGGGGUUUGCUUGAUCCCUCUUUUGUGGAGGGAAAAACAGGCUCUGAGAAGGACCUACAGAGGCCACAAUCUCCACUCUGGAGAGCCCCUUGGAGUUCAGGGUUUUUUAGAGGGAGGACCAAUGAGCAACCACCACUGCCAUAGGUACCAUCAGAGAUGGGCAAAGGGAGAAGAGCCUGUGAAGUAGAACUGUGCCCAUUCACACCAGUGUUCCUGGUUCGAAGACACCUCUUUUUAGACAGGCUCACUCCUUCUACAUAGUAAUCUUCAAAGCGCUUGGAUGGGACAAUGUUCCUUCUAAGGCCAUAGCGGCCAUUGACAGAACGGUUCACACUGCCCUGUAAGAGAAAUAAACCAAGUUAGAAAAUACUUCAAAAUUUCAUAAAAGAAAAAAAAAAAACACACCAGAAUGGGUGACCAUUAUAAAAUUGGCUUACCUUUUCCAUAUUAGUUGAAGAAUUUGACAGGGAAAUAUCCAAAAUAUUCUUUUUGCAAUGAGAAACUGGCUUUCGCAUGUGUUAAAUUUCAUCCAAAGUUGAAAUUCUAAUCUUUGUUUGGGGUUGGUUGCCAAUGGCAAAUGGCAAAGUAGAAUUUAGAAUGUUCAUGAUGUAAUUUAGAACUCAAGUUAUGGCCAAAUAAUAACUUUUAUGUUUGUAUAGCACCUUUCUGAUUAUAGCCCAAGGUGCUUUACUGAAUUAUUACAGAAAAUAGCAAUAAAUACAACAAA